GUUAAAUAAAUAGGAUUGGGAGAUAUAGUUUAACUGUUUCGCUCCUAUAAUGUCAACCGAUUUCUGAAGUUGACCAAGUGAUCAGCCGUCUGAUAACGCUUACCUGCAUGAAAUCCACCAAUAUAUAAUAAACCGACAAUUUUUUGCUGGAUACGAAACUUUUUCUUACAUUAUUAAUUCUAUCAAAUUAUAAAUCACUUUUACAAUAGUAAACUUCUAAAUCUACACAGUAUUUAUAAUAAAUUUAUCUUAGACGUUUGAAAUAUUAACGAAGAUAUGUUAAGUACAUGAAAAGUAUGCAGCCAAUGUGUUUUAAAAUGACGGAAAAAAACACAUAAACAUUGUUCCUGAAUUGCCCCUAAGCGCCAGUGCGACUCGUUCGUAGAAAGUUAGUAUUCGUUAUAGUUAGUUGCUUAAUUAAGAAGUCUGUUGGUAAUAAAGUCAGUUCGUUCGUACCCUGUUGGUCGACCAGCUCGUCAGUUGGUUACAGUCAUUAAUUCUAGUUGAUGAAUAACUAAGUUGAUAAGUAAGUUAUUACGUUAGUUUGUAUGCAGUUGGUAGAUAAGUCCGUUGGCAGUAGUUUAAUUUGUCCGUUUCAAAAAAGAAAGCGUUGAUAGUUGCCUAGUAAGUAUAUGCUGGUCAUUGAGGCUGGGUAAUAAAGUAGUUGGACGGUAAAAGGUCCGUUG
This is a non-coding RNA of Paramuricea clavata, 686 nucleotides long. Lineage: Eukaryota; Metazoa; Cnidaria; Anthozoa; Malacalcyonacea; Plexauridae. The record is from the annotation of a GenBank genome assembly.